RNAcentral lists this ribosomal RNA (253 nucleotides) under uncultured bacterium. RNAcentral describes it as "partial 16S ribosomal RNA". It matches the Rfam family "Bacterial small subunit ribosomal RNA", at positions 524 to 776 of the family's 1533-position model. The record is from RNAcentral.
UACGUAGGGGGCAAGCGUUGUCCGGAUUUAUUGGGCGUAAAGAGCGUGUAGGCGGCCAGGUAGGUCUGCUGUGAAAACUCGAGGCUCAACCUCGAGAUGUCGGCGGAAACCAUCUGGCUAGAGUCCGGAAGAGGAGAGUGGAAUUCCCGGUGUAGCGGUGAAAUGCGCAGAUAUCGGGAAGAACACCCGUGGCUAAGGCGGCUCUCUAGUACGGUACUGACGCUGAGACGCGAAAGCGUGGGGAGCGAACAGG